RNAcentral lists this ribosomal RNA (467 nucleotides) under uncultured Sphingobacteriales bacterium. RNAcentral's name for it is "bacterial SSU rRNA". It matches the Rfam family "Bacterial small subunit ribosomal RNA", at positions 916 to 1381 of the family's 1533-position model. The record is from RNAcentral. Lineage: Bacteria; Pseudomonadati; Bacteroidota; Sphingobacteriia; Sphingobacteriales.
GACGGGGCCCGCACAAGCGGUGGAGCAUGUGGUUUAAUUCGAUGAUACGCGAGGAACCUUACCUGGGCUCAAAUGUAUGUUGACAUAUUCUGAAAGGGAUACUUCUUCGGACAAUAUACAAGGUGCUGCAUGGUUGUCGUCAGCUCGUGCCGUGAGGUGUCGGGUUAAGUCCCAUAACGAGCGCAACCCCUAUCAUUAGUUGCCAUCAGGUCAAGCUGGGGACUCUAAUGAAACUGCCUACGCAAGUAGUGAGGAAGGUGGGGAUGACGUCAAAUCAGCACGGCCCUUACGUCCAGGGCUACACGCGUGCUACAAUGGUCGGUACAAAGGGUUGCCAAGCCGCGAGGUGGAGCUAAUCCCAUAAAACCGAUCGUAGUCCGGAUCGCAGUCUGCAACUCGACUGCGUGAAGUCGGAAUCGCUAGUAAUCGUGAAUCAGAAUGUCACGGUGAAUACGUUCCCGGGCCUU